Molecule: ribosomal RNA, 739 nt
Filed under: uncultured bacterium
Lineage: Bacteria
Description: bacterial SSU rRNA
Rfam family: Bacterial small subunit ribosomal RNA
Source: RNAcentral
GAGUUAUCAAAGCCUUCGGGUGGCGAUAACGGCGUCGAGCGGCGGACGGGUGAGUAAUGCCUGGGAAAUUGCCCUGAUGUGGGGGAUAACCAUUGGAAACGAUGGCUAAUACCGCAUAAUAGCUUCGGCUCAAAGAGGGGGACCUUCGGGCCUCUCGCGUCAGGAUAUGCCCAGGUGGGAUUAGCUAGUUGGUGAGGUAAGGGCUCACCAAGGCGACGAUCCCUAGCUGGUCUGAGAGGAUGAUCAGCCACACUGGAACUGAGACACGGUCCAGACUCCUACGGGAGGCAGCAGUGGGGAAUAUUGCACAAUGGGCGCAAGCCUGAUGCAGCCAUGCCGCGUGUAUGAAGAAGGCCUUCGGGUUGUAAAGUACUUUCAGCAGUGAGGAAGGCAGGUACGUUAAUAGCGUGCUUGUUUGACGUUAGCUGCAGAAGAAGCACCGGCUAACUCCGUGCCAGCAGCCGCGGUAAUACGGAGGGUGCGAGCGUUAAUCGGAAUUACUGGGCGUAAAGCGCAUGCAGGUGGUUUGUUAAGUCAGAUGUGAAAGCCCGGGGCUCAACCUCGGAAUUGCAUUUGAAACUGGCAGACUAGAGUACUGUAGAGGGGGGUAGAAUUUCAGGUGUAGCGGUGAAAUGCGUAGAGAUUGGAAAGAACACCGAUGGCGAAGGCACUUUACUGGGCUAUUACUAACACUCAGAGACGAAAGCUAGGGUAGCAAAUGGGAUUAGAUACCCUGGUA